CAGACACGAAAGAACGGGAGUGAUCAACAGCCAAAUUCAGUGAAGACACCUAAAAACGAUUAGAGCUACAACAAAAGGUAAACAAGCGCCCCUUGGAGGUUGCAGUGUGAAGCCCGGAGUCAUGAUGAUAAAGAGCAUUUCUCUUCCGACUAAUGAGCAGAAUUAAAAGUGCAAAACGCGAUGAUCACAAUGAGGAUAAGGUACAUUUCCCUGUUUUAAAAUGUCUUCAGCCUAGACGGUGGUGGACAACACUUUGUACGGAUAAAUGUGUGAACGAAACAAGAUAGAAAACGUAAUACGGAUUUGUCAUUUAUUUAUGUUUCAUUUAUAUAUCAUCGAGAACCAUUUUUGUUUCGUCAGGUAAAUGUUUAAAUCUGUUAAUCGAAAUGUUUUUGUUAAUCCCACAGAAACCCCGCAAAAGGAUCUUGCGGAUCAUCAUAAACAUUUUUGUAUGAACACGUCACGUACCAUCUGAAAUUACAAACUAUUGACUGCCAGAAAUCCAAAUACUAACCAUAACCAUAUAGGGAGGCUACCCUCUGCUGGAUACAAGUGGUACUGCACCCAACCCACUCAUUUUUAUUUGGUGGCUUUAACGCACAUACAUAUACAGAUACACAUUUUUCCCUGCUCAAUGGAACAAACAGCCAUUACUACAGCUUAGUUUGGGGUCUUUUCUGCCUCUUCUUGGUCACAAUUACACGAUUCACCUGAGACCUGAGGUACUUCCUGGCAUUUUGAGCACAUUGUGUUACUACACUAAUGCUGUGCAACUUUAAAUUAGGAUCCAUAAAAAAAAA
Molecule: long non-coding RNA, 800 nt
Organism: Syngnathus acus (greater pipefish)
Lineage: Eukaryota; Metazoa; Chordata; Actinopteri; Syngnathiformes; Syngnathidae
Exons: 2
Source: RefSeq, a predicted model, not a curated record